Molecule: ribosomal RNA, 234 nt
Filed under: Triticum aestivum (bread wheat)
Lineage: Eukaryota; Viridiplantae; Streptophyta; Magnoliopsida; Poales; Poaceae
Description: partial small subunit ribosomal RNA
Source: RNAcentral
ACUUUGCCAUACGGUGUAAUGUCUGCCAUGGAGAUUUUCGAACAUGUUAGAGAAGUUGAUAGCUAUCCUAAUAUCUCCAUUGUUUCUCACAUUUUAUUUGAUAUGCCUAUGAUGGUCGCAUCAGUCAAAAGAAGCUUUUCAAAUUUAUAAUUACUGAAGAACUAUUUGAGGUCAGCAAUGACUCAGGAGAGGUUAAAUAGCUUGGCAACAUUAUGCGCCGAGAAAAAAAUAUAG